UAAGGAAUAUUGGUCAAUGGGCGCAAGCCUGAACCAGCCAUGCCGCGUGCAGGAAGACGGCCCUAUGGGUUGUAAACUGCUUUUGUCAGGGAAUAAACCCCCGCUCGUGAGCGGGGCUGAAGGUACCUGAAGAAUAAGCAUCGGCUAACUCCGUGCCAGCAGCCGCGGUAAUACGGAGGAUGCAAGCGUUAUCCGGAUUCAUUGGGUUUAAAGGGUGCGCAGGCGGAUUGGUAAGUCAGGGGUGAAAUCCCACAGCUCAACUGUGGAACUGCCUGAUACUGUCAGUCUAGAGUAUAGUUGAAGUGGGCGGAAUGUGUCAUGUAGCGGUGAAAUGCUUAGAUAUGACACAGAACACCGAUCGCGAAGGCAGCUCGCUAAGCUAUAACUGACGCUCAUGCACGAAAGCGUGGGGAUCAAACAG
RNAcentral lists this ribosomal RNA (421 nucleotides) under uncultured bacterium. Its description in RNAcentral is "bacterial SSU rRNA". It matches the Rfam family "Bacterial small subunit ribosomal RNA", at positions 355 to 775 of the family's 1533-position model. The record is from RNAcentral.